This 425-nucleotide unclassified non-coding RNA is filed under the name soil metagenome. Its description in RNAcentral is "partial contains 5.8S ribosomal RNA, internal transcribed spacer 2, and large subunit ribosomal RNA". The stretch from base 1 to 120 matches the Rfam family "5.8S ribosomal RNA", at positions 35 to 154 of the family's 154-position model. The record is from RNAcentral.
GAUGAAGAACGCAGCGAAAUGCGAUAAGUAGUGUGAAUUGCAGAAUUCCGUGAAUCAUCGAAUCUUUGAACGCACAUUGCGCCUUCUGGUAUUCCGGAAGGCAUGCCUGUUCGAGAGUCAUUAACAACCGUUUCGAUCCCUUUCUUUCAGAAAUUACAAAGAGGAAAAGGGUUUGGUUAUGGUGGAGGAGGGAAAGGGAGCGUUUAGCCUGUAAAAAAAGAGGCUGUGUUCCGCCUCCCACCCAAAAUUGUACAGGCGGUCGUGUGCGCCCACGCAUCGAGGUGUUGUAAAAGCUGCCACGGCACUUUUCACCUGUGCAGUGCGAGAUUGGCCAGCCGGUUUAAAAACCCCUCCAAACAAUCAAAGGUUGACCUCGGAUCAGGUAGGGAUACCCGCUGAACUUAAGCAUAUCAAUAAGCGGAGGA